CACGGGGGUUGCGAGCGUUGUCCGGAAUUACUAGGCGUAAAGGGCAGGCAGGCGGAUCCAUAAGUUUAUCGUUUAAGGCGUCGGCUUAACCGGCGUAGGGCGGUAGAUACUGUGGAUCUGGAAUGCGGUUGGGGAAGACAGAAUUCCUGGUGUAGCGGUGGUAUGCGCAGAGAUCAGGAGGUAUACCGAAGGCGAAGGCAGUCUUCCAAGCCGUUAUUGACGCUCAACUGCGAAGGUGUGGGUAUCAAACAGGAUUAGAUACCCUGGUAGUCCCUGA
Molecule: ribosomal RNA, 277 nt
Filed under: uncultured prokaryote
Description: partial 16S ribosomal RNA
Rfam family: Bacterial small subunit ribosomal RNA
Source: RNAcentral